UAAUUGCACUAGCACGCACGAUGUAUAACCAAGAAAUCAACCGAGAUAAAUAAGCAUUAGGAGCACGUAGGCAUAUACAUUAGACGAUGAGUUCCUCCUCCUUGUGGGUCUCGAUGACGACGUCGGAGGUGGGGUAGGCGGCGCAGGUGAGCACCCACCCGGCGGCGACCUGGUCGUCGUCGAGGAAGCUCUGGUCGGACUGGUCGAUGCUGCCGGAGACGAGCUUGCCGGCGCAGGAGGAGCAGGAGCCGGCGCGGCACGAGUAGGGCAGCUCGAUCCCUUCCUCCUCGGCGUGGUCGAGGAUGUAGACGUCGUCGGGCACCUGGAGCUCCACCUCGCCGUCGGGAGUGAUGAGCUUGACGUUGUAGGUCGCCUGCGCGCGCAGCCUGGCUCCGCGGGGAGCCUUGGCCGGCAGCGGGACGGUGGACGGCGCCGGCGCCGGGGCCGCGCGGAGGGCGAAGCAGGCAGGCGCGCGGAGGCUGCUGAGCACGGUGGCCAUUGCGGACUUGCGGCGUGUGUAGUGAAGGGAGAGCUUGGAGCUGGAGGAGUUGGAGCUAUUAGCAGAGGCGAGCAGCAGCUAAUGAUGAUAGCUUAUAGGUAGCUAAAAGCGAGAUGAGGUGAAAUGAAGGGUCGGGGUGGGUGUAGCGUGAAGGGGAGGGCGGGAGGCUUAUCUUCUUGGUCGGGACCAGGACGACAUCCGUGGGGGAAAUCAACUACUCGAAAGUCGAAAUACAGCAGGGCCACACGCUAGACUCCAAACGUCAUCGAGAAUUCUCCGACCAUGAAUUUCACCAUGAAAUUCGCUAGUAAAAAUAUAACUUCUCCUCACCGAUCACAUUUGAAUCCGGUACUAAUGUUAAAAUUUGCCGGAGGUCCUUUUGUACCGAGUGGGGUUUCCAAUUGGUACUAAAGUCCCCUUUUAAUGGUUGGAAACCCCACCCAAUACUAAAGCCCCGUCUGCCGCCGGCCCUCCCCCACUCACACGCGCCUGCAUUAUCUCCUCAUCCAGUACACUUCUCCUUCUCUUCUCUCAUACUCCCUCUCCUCUUCCUAUCCUCUACUCUCCUCCCUCACACUCCCUCUCCCAGAUCUGCCUCUCCUCCGCUCGCCCCUCACCGACGAUGAGGAGUGGCGGCGUCGGGCCGGGGCGGCUGCGACGACGCAGGAGGGGCGCGGCAGCGGGAGCAGUGGGGUGGAGCAGGGAGCGGAGAGGAGGCGGUGAUGGGAGAGUGCAGCAGAGGAGGGGGAGGAGGAGGAGGAGGCGGAGGGGGCUGGCGGCGGGCGGAGGGAGGCCGGGACCGGCGGGGGAGGGGGGGGUUCUUCUUUUUUAAUUUUUUUAACACCCUCUAGUACAAGUUAUCUCAAUCGGUACUAGAGGAUCCCCCUCGAGUACAGGAUUGCUACCAGUUGCAGAAUCGGUACUAGAGGGGGGUUGGGAACCGACAAUAGAGGUUAUUUUUUAUAGUGAUUACUCAAAAUAGUGACAGAGAAAGUAGUAUUCAUUGUAUUCUCACGUACUCCCUCCGUUUAUUUUUAUAAGGCGUGAUAUGGCAUGGCACGUACUCCCAAAUUACACUUUGAUCAUUAAUUUAUCUUAUAUUAUAUUGUUUAUGACUAUAAACUUAUAAUCAUUGGAGAAUACAUUUGAUUGCAAAUCCAACCAUUUCAAAUUUAUACCAUAAAAAUAAAAAAAUAUUGGUUAAAUUAUUAGUCAAAGAUAGCAAACUUUUACAUUUGAUAUGCGCAUACGCCUUAUAUACAAACAUGAACGGAAGGAGUAGAAAAUAGACUGUGUGCGCCAGUCACUGCCCAUUGGUUGGUUGAGCGUGGCGUGUGGAGGCCACGGCCUCGAUCCAGGGCAUAUGCUUCUUUCGGUCCUUAGCAGUUGGCGGUAUCACGUGGUUCUCGUCAAUUUUUGUGUAUCUGGCCAGAGAUCUAAAUUACAUGUAAUUUUACAUGUAUGAAAAAUUAGUCAGUUCGCUGGUUAGCUUUCCAUGCCAACCAUGGAUCUCUUUUCUCUUUUCUUUUCUUUCUCUUCUUUUCUUCUCUCCCUGGUGAUGAGUGAUGGGUGGGUGGGUGGUCAGCAAAAACUAGCGAGCCUGCUGCAAAAACUAUGGCAUGGAAAGCUAACCAUCGAUAUAGUAUCAGUAUAAAAACUAGUGCCUGCUCCGUUAGAUUAGGUGGAAAACUCUAGUCAGUUCGCUACUGAACUACGGAUUGAUAAACUUUAGAUGGAAUACUCUAAGGAAAAAGUUACGAUAAUCCGUGCGCUUGCGAUUCACAAAUUGAUGCGCUAACUGCCGCCAACAAGCUUUUCCGGUGCUGUUGCCAGGGAUCAGCAACUCGAACCCUAGGGUGAGACUAACUCUAAUUUUUCUAUUGCAUAUCCUGUUUUUCUUGUUUGCGUCCUUAAAAGCAAGUAAAUACUAGACGUCAUAUAAUCGAACAUGGACUUUCAAGUCUCAAUUCACUCCGAUAAGAUGAUAACAACAUCGAGCUCAACUCUUUAGCAGUAGGUGAUAACUUGUUAGUGGCCCAACAUCUGUUAUUGAGUCCACACCAAUGAACACAAUACAAAUGCUUAUAAGCAAGUGGCACAUAAUCUGAGAUGGGCUUAGCAAGUGGUAAAACCAUGGUGUUGGGAUAUGAGGAUGUCCAGUUAACAGAGGUGAAAAACUAAUCAAGUUGCUCAAGUAAAGGAUCUUGCUGCAUGUUGCUCCUGGUAAAAGUCCUUCACUUAAUUGGUAAUUCAAUGAGGCCCAGCUGCCCAAUGACGUCAUUAAAUAGCAAGGUAUCCAGAAAAUUACCACCCAAUUUGUUCAUGUCAUCCAGAGAUAUGUAGAAAUUGAAAUCCCCUAGGAAGAUCCAAUUAUCCUCGGCCUGGUAAGACAAGGGGUGGAGGAAGGUUGUGAGCGUGAUACUAAAGGGUGCUUGUGUUGGUGUGUGUGGGGGGGGGGGAGGAUGGGGAUAGUGUCGCAUCUCAAAUGAGCUAGUCCUCUCAUUUGACAACCUCAGCCAUCAUAUUUGGAUCCAGUGAUUGCUUUCUUUUCUAUCUCCUCUCAAUCUGCAUUUUGUCUUCCUUGUAACUUCUCAGUUCUCAUGACAUUCUCCCAUAACCAGCACUUCUCAGUUCUCACAACAUUUCCCCAUGACUAGCACCUCCCGUUGGGCAUCUCCUCCCAACCAGCCUAACGGUAUCCCUCAUUGUCCCACCUUCCAGCGUGUUGUCUGCAGUCGCUACUAGCUUAGGCUAGGUUGCAGCCCUAACUGAGCUUUCUUUAAAGACCAGGGGACUACCUCCAAAACACUAUAUUCCAAAGGAAAUUCACCGUGUUGUAUGUCAAUUGAAUCUUGCUUCACUUCCAGGAGAUUGAGAUACGAGAAGUAUUGUCAAAUUAAUCCAUUUUGAAUAGGGUUCGACGAAUAGUGACAUGAAGGGGGACUAUGCACAUGGUAGGGGCAAAGGAACUCACAAGCUUUGAUAUGAGGUAGGGUUCGACGAAUAGUGACAUGGAGGGGGACUAUGCACCUGGUAGGGGUAAAGGAACUCUCAAGCUUUGAGAUGAGGUAGGCUAAGGCAAGAGGCGGAGAGAGGGUGCGAGGGGUGCUUGCGAUUGUGUGGUGUGUGGGAGGAUGGGGGUUGGCACAUGUUGAGGAAGUUUUGUAUACAUGUUAUAAUUUGUUGGUUUGGGCCUUAGGUUUCUAUCCAAGAGCAACAAAAAAUUUUGAACAAACAUUUCAAAAAUAAAUUAAAUUUGAAUAACUCUGUCACACACAUAUAUCCCCGUUGAUCUUGGUGGUCACGAUAAACUAGCUAGCCAAGUCCACACAUGCUUUCUUUUGAAUCAUUUUAUAGCAUGGCAUAACAAAUAGCAUCAGAUUCAGACGACUACUCAAGCUGCAUUUCCGUAGCACGUUUAGUCAGGUACAUACGUACACACACACACACAGAUAUAUAGUAUAUAUAUGUAUUGGUUGUACAAAAAUAAAGAGGAAAAACGUUAUUAAUUACUUGAGCGAAGCCUAUCAUGCAUCCGCAGUAAAAAUGAAUGAUACAGAGACCAGCAAUAAGCAGAGUAACAAACGAUGGAGAAGCUGCUGAUGCCGAUGCUUAAUUGCAAGGUCUCAUGGUGACACUGACAUGCAUGAUACAAGAAAGGGAAUUGUCCGGCGUCGUCAAACUCGAUCUCUUGCAAGAGCAAGACAGAUACUAGAUAUAGCAAGCGCGUAGCAGGUAGUGAUCGAGCUUCUUAGAUGAGCUCCUCCUCCUUGUGCGUCUCGAUGACGACGUCGGAGGUGGGGUAGGCGUGGCAGGUGAGCACCCACCCGGCGGCGACCUGGCCGUCGUCGAGGAAGCUCUGGUCGGACUGGUCGACGGAGCCGGAGACGACCUUGCCGGCGCAGGAGGAGCAGGAGCCGGCGCGGCACGAGUAGGGCAGGUCGAUCCCAUCCUCCUCGGCCUGGUCGAGGAUGUAGACGUCGUCGGGCACCUGGAGCUCCACCUCGCCGUCGGGGGUGAUGAGCUUGACGUUGUAGGUGGCCUGCGCGCGCA
RNAcentral lists this long non-coding RNA (4552 nucleotides) under Setaria italica (foxtail millet). RNAcentral describes it as "long non-coding RNA (SITA_LNC004215)". Lineage: Eukaryota; Viridiplantae; Streptophyta; Magnoliopsida; Poales; Poaceae. The record is from RNAcentral.